Molecule: ribosomal RNA, 496 nt
Filed under: uncultured bacterium
Lineage: Bacteria
Description: partial 16S ribosomal RNA
Rfam family: Bacterial small subunit ribosomal RNA
Source: RNAcentral
AUGAACGCUGGCGGCGUGCCUAAUACAUGCAAGUCGAGCGAACGGACGAGAAGCUUGCUUCUCUGAUGUUAGCGGCGGACGGGUGAGUAACACGUGGAUAACCUACCUAUAAGACUGGGAUAACUUCGGGAAACCGGAGCUAAUCCCGGAAAAUAUUUUGAACCGCAUGGUUCAAAAGUGAAAGACGGUCUUGCUGUCACUUAUAGAUGGAUCCGCGCUGCAUUAGCUAGUUGGUAAGGUAACGGCUUACCAAGGCAACGAUGCAUAGCCGACCUGAGAGGGUGAUCGGCCACACUGGAACUGAGACACGGUCCAGACUCCUACGGGAGGCAGCAGUAGGGAAUCUUCCGCAAUGGGCGAAAGCCUGACGGAGCAACGCCGCGUGAGUGAUGAAGGUCUUCGGAUCGUAAAACUCUGUUAUUAGGGAAGAACAUAUGUGUAAGUAACUGUGCACAUCUUGACGGUACCUAAUCAGAAAGCCACGGCUAACUACGUG